This 24-nucleotide non-coding RNA is filed under the name Cricetulus griseus (Chinese hamster). The record is from RNAcentral. Lineage: Eukaryota; Metazoa; Chordata; Mammalia; Rodentia; Cricetidae.
CCAGAGCCUGAGGAAAAGAUGUCC